Molecule: long non-coding RNA, 2872 nt
Organism: Dromaius novaehollandiae (emu)
Lineage: Eukaryota; Metazoa; Chordata; Aves; Casuariiformes; Dromaiidae
Exons: 5
Source: RefSeq, a predicted model, not a curated record
GUGCCUGCCGCCCGCGCCGCGCCCUGCGGCUCCGUCUAGGGGACGGCGCCGGCUACUGCACGGCAUCGCCCCGCCGCGGCGCGGGCAGGCGGGCGGGCGGGCUUCUCCCGCGGGCCGCGGAGCGGGGCAGCGCCGGCUCCGCGCGCCGAGGUCGGCCCCGGCGCGGGGCGGCGAGGCCCGGCCGCCCCGCUCGGCCUCCUCCCCCCGCGGAGGGCGCCCCCCGGCGGCGGCGGCCGCGGGCGCGGUGGGGCCCGGCGGGGGAGGCCGCGGCCCGGCGGGGCCGCCUGGGGCGAGAGCGCGGUGCGGUGCCGCCGUGGAGCGGGUGGGAGACCCGAGCGUGGCCGCGGUGCCUUGUGACGGCUGGGAGGGGAAGGAGUAGCGCGGCCGGGUGUCCCCCUCCGGCGGGCGGGUACGGCGAGCACAGGAAUGAGCCUUGGGAGAAAGGAGAGUGGCUCCGUGGGCUUUUCUUGCAAUAACACGGAUUCCUCUUGGGAGACGCCUUAGGAGCGAAGACAGUCCAGAUGAGCGUAGGUCCACCACUCGGUUUUGUUUAGGCAUCGUUUACCUUGAUGAAGUAGCAGAGGGAGACCCAGAUCUGCAAAGUAACUCCAGCAGUGGCGUCCUGGUCUGUGACAUCCCUGCGGAGGAGCCUCCCCUGCGCUGCUGGCUCAGCAUCCGCCUUCCUGCAUGGCGGCAGAGGUGCAACCGGACCAGAGAAGCCAGCGUGGCGGGAGCGUGACAGUGUGGUUUAGCUUCACUGGGAUUAAUGUCAAACACUGUUUACAGCCAACAAGACAAGAUUUGGGCAAAAUAGCCCAAAUUUUUAGUCGGUGAGCUCGUGGGGAUGUGGACAGGGUUUGGAAGAUGAGUAGGAGUGAAGCUAACAUGAAAUGAAGACCUAUCAGACUCUGUAAUGAAUAAGUUGACUUGCUGGUUCUCUGGGAGAAGAAAAGUGACAAUAUAUUAAGAGAGGACUCUCGCCUGUGAGACUGGUCCCUGCCCAUUUGGGGUCCUCCGGUGCCUCCGAAGCACUGUUUACCCCUGUUUACUUUGAGCUGAGUAACAGCUCUAGAAAGGAGAACAGUCUGUGAAGAGUUCCUCCCUCUCACCCCUCUCUCCUCUCCCGCUACCUGCAGCGCAGAAGAGGAUGACAAAGAACUGUUAAGAAUGGGGGAAGGGAAAGCAAGUUACAGGUAGUCACCACCUGUGUGUCAGAAUCAGCCCGAAGUCGCAAGCCGUGCUGGGUGCGCUGAUUGAGAUGCCUAGUCACAAGCGCUGCAGGGAGUGCAAUCCCUCACAUCUCGCUGGCUGAGCUAAUGAGGUUAGGAAGAAACUUUUCUCAUGGGCCCAUUGCUCUAGAAAUGCCAACUUCAGAUUUUUUGUGCUUGCCCCUGAAGUGUUCACCCCUGCUCGAUUUGGGUUCUGUUGCCUGAGCCUGUACAGAAAUUUCUGUCACCCUGCUUUAACUAGGCAGCGCGGGGCGAGCGUGGUGGCACACCUCCAGCAGCCGCCGCAGGCACCGCGCGCCCGUUCUGCGCCCGCGCUGGCCUGCACAGCUGGAAGCUGGCUCCUGCGCAGAAGCUGUACAGCGGUAUUAGGGCACCGCUGCACCUGAACUACAAAGUUGUGCAGGAGACAAGGUACAUUACCUUGGGCUUGGUGGCAUGUUUAUGUGAAUUCAGGUUUUCCCGACCAGAUCUGGUUUGUGCCCAGAGCGGGGGUGUGAAAUAGAUCCGCACUGUCUGCACCCACCUGUGUCAACCCACCCCGAGCCUGGCCUUGGAGUGGGCGUCAGUUCCAUAGUGUGGUACAAGGCUGUCAUUUCACCUAAUGGUACUUUAUGGGGUUGUUUCUGUUUUGUUUUCAAGAGUCAGAAGAAGAAGCCAUUUCUCUACCAGAAUUUACAAAUCUAGUCAGUUUUGGAUAUUUGGAUGCUCUCUGAACGACAUCAGGAUUUUAUCUCUUCUGAGUGGAAGUGUUGUCAAUGCAAGGAGACUGACCCAGAGGCUUAGUCUAAAAAUAUGUUAUUUGGGAAGGGCUCUUGAUAGAAAGAAACUGUUUGUUGUGGUUAGUUUUCCACUCCAGAUAAAAUCUUCAAUGGUUUGUUGAGACAGAAUCAUAGCUCUGCCAAGUUUAAUGACUCAACACCCUUGAGAAAGCUGAGGAGAUAUUGUGACUUUGGUAGUGAAGUAAAUGGGUUGAUUGAAUCAACACGGAUACGUAUUUUCUGUUCUAGGGAUACUUAUUGGCUUUACUGUUAAUGUAUAUUAAUUGUCUGCUACAUUAUCUUCUACUUUCAAGCGUCACGAGCUUUGUCACUAAUGCAAAAUGCAGCUUUUUUUAGAGGCUAAGCUCUUCUGCCAGAUCUUAGAUGCAUGUUUACACACUGGAAAAAAACUAUUCAAGUAAAUGUUGUGCGCAUAUAUUAAGCAUUUUUUCUGACAAGACAAGACUCAUCUUUGAACUUUCGAAGUCCAAUUAUUUUAUGCUUAUGCUCCCCUAUCACAAAAGGUAACUAUUUUGCAAGCAGCAAAAGCGUGCAUCUCACUAACACUUUGAUCAUAGAGGAAAAAGAAAAGCUGAAGUGAUCUCCCUUGAAAGCAAAGUACAUCAGGCAUGAAAAAUUCCAGAAGAUGGAUUUUCCCAGAAGUUCUGACAACGCAGGGUGAGAGUUUCAAUUAUAAAACUGCCUCUGUGAAUAGCAGGUGACAAUUUGAUUCUGAUAUUUCCAAGUUGCUGUUAGAAUAUGUUAAUUCACAAAGAGUUUUUGUCUUUUGGGCAAUGAAUAAAGAAUUAUAAGAUUACAGAAGUGUUAACAUAGAAUAUCAUGGUAAUAGUAGUCUUAAUACUGUAAUCUUUGAUAUUCCUUGGA